AUACGGAGGGUGCGAGCGUUAAUCGGAAUUACUGGGCGUAAAGCGUACGUAGGCGGUUGGUUAAGUUAGAUGUGAAAGCCGCGGGCUUAACCUGGGAACUGCAUUUAAAACUGGCGAACUAGAGUUGAGUAGAGGGGAGUGGAAUUUCAGGUGUAGCGGUGAAAUGCGUAGAGAUCUGAAGGAACACCAGUGGCGAAGGCGACUCCCUGGACUCGAACUGACGCUGAGGUACGAAAGCGUGGGUAGCAAACGGGAUUAGAAACCCCGUAGUCC
This 273-nucleotide ribosomal RNA is filed under the name uncultured bacterium. RNAcentral's name for it is "partial 16S ribosomal RNA". It matches the Rfam family "Bacterial small subunit ribosomal RNA", at positions 523 to 796 of the family's 1533-position model. The record is from RNAcentral.